RNAcentral lists this long non-coding RNA (733 nucleotides) under Citrus maxima (pomelo). RNAcentral describes it as "long non-coding RNA (CMAX_LNC001567)". Lineage: Eukaryota; Viridiplantae; Streptophyta; Magnoliopsida; Sapindales; Rutaceae. The record is from RNAcentral.
CCAAUGACGGACAUGAAAAUGCGACCCCAAGCAACUUCAGGUAAUCCAGGACGUACAUAUCGAUUCUACGAAGGGAAAGAGGUCUUCCCAUUCGGUUGUGGUCUCAGCUAUUCAAAGUAUUCCUACAAGUUCAAAGCUGUCAGCCAAAACAAGCUUUAUUUAAAUCAGUCAUCAUCUACAAAGAUGGUUGAAAGUCAAGAUGUAGUCCAUUACAAGUCUGUUCCAGAGUUGGGCACAGAAUUUUGUGAGACAAGGAAGUUCUUGGUUACCAUCGGAGUUAAAAAUCAUGGAGAGAUGGCGGGUAAGCACCCGGUGUUGCUGUUUGUGAAGCCUGCAAGGCGUGGAAAUGGGAGGCCAAUAAAGCAGUUGGUUGGAUUCCAAAGUGUGAUUCUAAAUGCCAAAGAAAAAGCUGAAAUUGUUUUUGAGCUUAGCCCCUGUGAAAGCCUCAGCAGAGCUAGGGAAGAUGGCUUGAUGGUGAUAGAAGAAGGAACACAUUUCUUGGUUGUUGGAGAUGAAGAAUACCCAAUUAGCAUCUUCGUCUAAUUAAUAUGAGAAAUUAAUUGGUUCUUGACAACAUGAAGCCAAUUUUUCUAUUCAAAUCUUUAUUGAAACAUUGAUAAAAUAAAGAGGAGUAUGAAGCCAUACCGAGUCCGCUUCUACUGCAUUUCCAUCUUUAUUAGGGUGCCAGGCAUGAGCUCCGUUCUUCAUAUAAAGUGUUUUCACGGCCUAAGUU